GUAUAUAGUCUCCACAUUGACUCUGUACCAAUACCCCCUGUAUAUAGCCUCCACAUUGACUCUGUACCGGUACCCCCUGUAUAUAGCCUCCACAUUGACUCUGUACCGGUACCCCCUGUAUAUAGUCUCCACAUUGACUCUGUACCGGUGCCCCCUGUAUAUAGCCUCACUACUGUUAUUUACUGCUGCUCUUUAAUUAGUUGUUAUUCUUAUCGCUUACUUUUUUUGUGUGUAUUUUCUGAAAACUGCAUUGUUGGUUAAAGGUUUGUAAGUAAAGCAUUUCACUGUAAGGUCUACACAUUUUGAUUUGAUUUGCAAAACCUAAAGACUUGUAUCCAUCAAUCCACUAUCAGAUGCUGUGAGCCCUCAACAACAGGUUUACUUUGGAGCUGUUGGAUGUUGUCGUGUAAACAUCCCCAUAAUAGUAGUACUAAUAGAGUACUGUAGUAUAUACUACUGUGGGAUAUGAACAUAUCAUAUAUAACACUAUAAUGUGGGAUAUGAACAUAUCAUAUAUAACAGUAUAAUGUGGGAUAUGAACAUAUCAUAUAUAUAUAUAUAUAUAUAUAUAUAUAACAGUAUAAUGUGGGAUAUGAACAUAUCAUAUAUAUAUAUAUAUAUAUAUAACAGUAUAAUGUGGGAUAUGAACAUAUCAUAUAUAACGGUAUAAUGUGGGAUAUGAACAUAUCGUAUAUAACAGUAUAAUGUGGGAUAUGAACAUAUCAUAUAUAACAAUAUAAUGUGGGAUAUGAACAUAUCAUAUAUAACAGAAUAAUGUGGGAUAUGAACAUACCAUAUUUUUGUACGGGUUAACAACCGUUAAUGGAAGUUGUCAGUAAUCCAUCUUAGGACAACCAGUUUUCCACGUCCCUGCUGCUAACCCUCUUGGUGCAGAUAGCAACGUAGUAAAGCUCCAUAGUUUGCUGUGCACCAUUAAAUAGACCUUCAAUGUCUUGAUGAGUGAUCCGUUCCUGCUGUUGGAGCAGUCUCCCUGCUGUAGGAGUAGUCUCUCUGCCGUAGGAGUAGUCUCUCUGCCGUAGGAGUAGUCUCCCUGCCGUAGGAGUAGUCUCCAUGCCGUAGGAGUAGUCUCUCUGCCGUAGGAGUAGUCUCUCUGCCGUAGGAGAAGUCUCCCUGCCGUAGGAGUAGUCUCCCUGCCGUAGGAGUAGUCUCCCUGCCGUAGGAGUAGUCUCCCUGCCGUAGGAGUAGUCUCCCUGCCGUAGGAGUAGUCUCCCUGCCGUAGGAGUAGUCUCCCUGCCGUAGGAGUAGUCUCCCUGCCGUAGGAGUAGUCUCUCUGCCGUAGGAGUAGUCUGUAGGAGUAGUCUGUGGGAGUCGUCUCUCUGCCGUAGGAGCAGUCUGUAGGAGUAGUCUGUAGGAGUAGUCUCUCUGCCUAGUCUCUCUGCCGUAGGAGCAGUCUGUAGGAGUAGUCUGUAGGAGUAGUCUCUCUGCCGUAGGAGCAGUCUGUAGGAGUAGUCUGUAGGAGUAGUCUCUCUGCCGUAGGAGCAGUCUGUAGGAGUAGUCUCCCUGCUGUAGGAGUAGUCUGUAGGAGUAGUCUCCCUGCUGUAGGAGUAGUCUGUAGGAGUAGUCUGUAGGAGAAGUCUCUCUGCCGUAGGAGUAGUCUGUAGGAGUAGUCUCCCUGCUGUAGGAGCAGUCUCUCUGCCGUAGGAGUAGUCUCUCUACUGUAGGAGUAGUCUCUCUGCCGUAGGAGCAGUCUCUCUGCCGUAGGAGCAGUCUCUCUGCCGUAGGAGUAGUCUGUAGGAGUAGUCUCCCUGCUGUAGGAGCAGUCUCUGCCGUAGGAGUAGUCUCCCUGCUGUAGGAGUAGUCUCUCUGCUGUAGGAGUAGUCUCCGUGCUGUAGGAGUAUUCUGUUGGAGUAGUCUCCGUGCUGUAGGAAUAGUCUGUUGGAGUAGUCUUCGUGCCGUAGGAGUAGUCUGUAGGAGUAGUCUCUGUGCUGUAGGAGUAGUCACCGUGCUGUAGGAGUAGUCUGUAGGAGUAGUCUCCCUGCUGUAGGAGUAGUCUGUAGGAGUAGUCUGUAGAAGAAGUCUCUCUGCCGUAGGAGUAGUCUGUAGGAGCAGUCUCUCUGCCGUAGGAGUAGUCUCUCUACUGUAGGAGUAGUCUCUCUGCCGUAGGAGCAGUCUCUCUGCCGUAGGAGCAGUCUCCCUGCCGUAGGAGCAGUCUCCCUGCCGUAGGAGCAGUCUCCCUGCCGUAGGAGCAGUCUCUCUGCCGUAGGAGCAGUCUCUCUGCCGUAGGAGCAGUCUCUCUGCCGUAGGAGCAGUCUCUCUGCCGUAGGAGCAGUCUCUCUGCCGUAGGAGCAGUCUCUCUGCCGUAGGAGUAGUCUGUAGGAGUAGUCUCCCUGCUGUAGGAGUAGUCUCCCUGCCGUAGGAGCAGUCUCCCUGCUGUAGGAGCAGUCUCCCUGCUGUAGGAGCAGUCUCCCUGCUGUAGGAGCAGUCUCUCUACUGUAGGAGUAGUCUCUCUGCUGUAGGAGUGGUCUCCAUUCUGUAGGAGUACUCUCCGUGCUGUAGGAGUAGUCUCCGUGCUGUAGGAGUAGUCUGUUGGAGUAGUCUCCGUGCUGUAGGAGUAGUCUGUUGGAGUAGUCUUCAUGCCGUAGGAGUAGUCUGUAGGAGUAGUCUCCGUGCUGUAGGAGUAGUCUCCAUUCUGUAGGAGUAGUCUCCGUGCCGUAGGAGUAGUCUGUAGGAGUAGUCUCCGUGCUGUAGGAGUAGUCUCCAUUCUGUAGGAGUAGUCUCCGUGCCGUAGGAGUAGUCUGUAGGAGUAGUCUCCGUGCUGUAGGAGUAGUCUCCAUACUGUAGGAGUAGUCUCCGUGCCGUAGGAGUAGUCUCCCUGCUGUAGGAGUAGUCUCCAUUCUGUAGGAGUAGUCUCCGUGCCGUAGGAGUAGUCUGUAGGAGUAGUCUCCAUUCUGUAGGAGUAGUCUGUAGGAGUGGUCUCCGUGCCGUAGGAGUAGUCUCCCUGCUGUAGGAGUAGUCUGUAGGAGUAGUCUCCAUUCUGUAGGAGUAGUCUCCCUACUGUAGGAGUAGUCUCCAUUCUUUAGGAGUAGUCUCCGUGCCAUAGGAGUAGUCUGUAGGAGUAGUCUCCAUUCUGUAGGAGUAGUCUCCCUACUGUAGGAGUAGUCUCCAUUCUUUAGGAGUAGUCUCCGUGCCAUAGGAGUAGUCUGUAGGAGUAGUCUCCAUUCUGUAGGAGUAGUCUGUAGGAGUAGUCUCCGUGCCGUAGGAGUAGUCUCCCUGCUGUAGGAGUAGUCUGUAGGAGUAGUCUCCAUUCUGUAGGAGUAGUCUCCCUACUGUAGGAGUAGUCUGUAGGAGUAGUCUCCAUUCUGUAGGAGUAGUCUCCCUACUGUAGGAGUAGUCUGUAGGAGUAGUCUCCGUGCCGUCGGAGUAGUCUCUCUGCUGUAGGAGUAGUCUCCGUGACGUAGGAU
Molecule: long non-coding RNA, 3422 nt
Organism: Oncorhynchus tshawytscha (Chinook salmon)
Lineage: Eukaryota; Metazoa; Chordata; Actinopteri; Salmoniformes; Salmonidae
Source: Ensembl